UGUGUGUGUGUAUGUGUGUGUGUGUGUGUGUGUGUGUGUGUGUGUGUAUGUGUGUGUGUUUGUGUGUGUGUGUGAAUGAAUAAAUGUACUCUUGACAUCUCUGUGAGAUUGAAGAGAGGGAGUUAUGACUAGACUGGAGGCCUGGCAUCAACCCCUACAACAGUGUCGACGUCUCUAAAGGCCUACAUCUAUCCUCUUUUAUCACGGGGGUUUGGUAUAAAACACACACACACCACACACACACACACACACACACACACAAAAUAUAGUGAUAAUUGAAUCAGUGGUACAUGAAAUCCGCGUACUUUGUAAGUGGAAUUAAUAGUAGAUUCAUUGACACCAAAGUCGCGAAAUCACAGUAGCGAAGCUUCCACAGUCACUAUUUUCUUGAUCAUUUCUACCUUUUUUCUGCAGAGAAUACGAGUUUGUGCCGUCUGUUUGGAUCGAGCGCCUUCGAAUAUGUUCCUUUUACUGAUCUCAGAUUGUUGGAUAUCAGCUCGUAAGUUCGUAUAAAGAAAUACGCAGUCUCACAGAAUGGUCAGAUAAACACAAGUUAUAGUCUAUGCAUUCUGGGAGCUGAGCAUUAUAGGGGUGGGCUCGUUUUAACGCACUUAUGCAGUACAAGCAGAAUUUUCGACUGAUCGUCAACCUAUUUUAUCAGAGAUCAAACCUUGAUAAAUGUAACAUGGUUCAGAAUUGAACAAACCGUUUUAUUCCGAAUCAGUGAUGAAUUAAUCAGAGAUAAACGAGAUUACAUGUAAUACAUUUGAGACAGCAAUAAAGUUUGUGUCAACAUUAUGCUCUAAAAAACUAUUGUUGCGGAAGGUAUUGUUUAAUUCAGCAGACAGAAUUAAAACUAUUUUAAUCGUCUAUGUUUAGAAUCAUUACAGAAACUAAUGUAUAUUAAACUAUUUGAUUUCAGGGAAAUAAUUUUGUUACAGUCAGUCAGUUUCUAUUUAUUACACAAAAGACGACGUUGCCGUUGUGUCUCAGUAUGCCCCAGUCGUUGCUGAAAAUUUUCAUUCCGGAAGCAGUUGAAAAAAUAUUUUAAAACAUAACUGUAUUUCCAUAGAGUCAUAAUUGUAUUUCAUUUUCUCAAAGAAUAAAAACCUACACUGUGAGCUGAUUCA
Molecule: long non-coding RNA, 1130 nt
Organism: Octopus sinensis (East Asian common octopus)
Lineage: Eukaryota; Metazoa; Mollusca; Cephalopoda; Octopoda; Octopodidae
Exons: 2
Source: RefSeq, a predicted model, not a curated record